Molecule: long non-coding RNA, 1584 nt
Organism: Canis lupus familiaris (dog)
Lineage: Eukaryota; Metazoa; Chordata; Mammalia; Carnivora; Canidae
Exons: 7
Source: RefSeq, a predicted model, not a curated record
CUCCUGGGCUGGGCCCGCUCACCUGGCUCACAAGUCCUCACUUGUGAAAACAGAAAUCAGUAGAAGGGAAGUUCUUCAGAGAGAAAGGGAUUGUGGAGAAGCUAGCGGUACUUGCGCAGCCCUGGGAAGGCCCCAGCACAGCAGAGCCCUCUUACCUGGGCUGCACCUGAUUAAGCAUUCCCUGCCCUCCGCAGCAGUUCCAGUACAUAGAAGUCCCAGGCAACCACUACGUGCACCUGAACCAACCUCAGAACGUGGCUGACAUCAUCAGUGCCUUUCUGCAGAGCAAGGAGAUGAUCCCACACUAGCUGUAGCCUGGACCUCGGGCUUUGGAGGCCUCGUGCCCACCACUCACCACCUGGAUUCCUAGUUCUCAGGCCCUCCAGCCAGGAGAUCAGCAAUAGGGUACAUGACUGUGAUAGCACAUUCAUAUAAUGGAAUACUUUGUAGUCAUUACAAAUGCUGUUAAAGGUUAUAUAUUUUGUUUUCUUCUGCCCACAUGAGGCACCAGUUGAGCCAUAGAGAGGAGAGUAGUGGAGAUGGCUCAUCCAUCUUCAAGGAGAGUAUUUUGGGAGAACCUGCCUCUCAUUGCAUCAGUUUCUAUUUAGAGGAGACAAGAGCAGAGUGAAUUUUUUUCUACCCUGAUUGAUGUCUGCCCUCAAAUGAAAAAAUGGAAACCGCAUGUUUAUGGGAAUUUGCCAGCUUGGGUAGAGAUGGACUGGUAAACAGUCUUCCAGCUUCUCCAGGGCACAGAUGAAAAUAGAACUAAAGGCUACCCCUGUUUCUGUCUCGCUUUGUCAGCUUCAGACCUUGAGCGGGUCACGUACCUGGAGUUGUGGUGAGCCUGAAUGAGAGGUUCCACCAAUGACACACAGGAGACUCUGCCUCUCCUGGAGACCUUGUGGUUCUAGCAGGAGAAGGAAGCCUUCAGGCUGGGGAUUUGGCAAACUUUUUCCUCAAAAGGCCAGGUGUUGCCGAUAAGGUCCCAAGAUAAGCAUGUGAGAUGAAAUAAUGAAAGCUGAAAUGUCAAGACUACUCAUUACUUACAUUUGUUUUUUAUAAUCUAGGACUUAGGGUACGAUAGGUAAAGAACCCAUGUUUUUCCAAAGCACUGUUUUCAAUUUUUUAACGGAGAUAAAUGAACUGUCAGCCCAUCUGACACUCACUACAUUUGCUAAGUGCUUAGUAACACAUGAAAAUGAUGAGAAGAAUGCCAGAGCUGAGCAAGCGGAAUCCACAGAGAUGAGAUUGAGUUCCUUGACGCCUGAAGUGUGGUCCGUGGAGAGACGUCACCACAUCACCCAGGAGCUUGUCUGUACCCAAACCUGAGGAAUCAGUCUGCAUUUUAUCAAGACUCCAAGGAUUUGUAUGCACAUUAGCAUUUGAGAAGCACUGGUUCCUAAUUAAUAAUGUUCUAAAUUAGAGCCUAUAUCUGGACUUAUUAGAAACAUUAGUAUUGUAAAACAUUUAUUCGUAGACUACUUUAAUAAAGACCCCAGAUCUAUUACCAUUUUGGGGCCUCAGUGUUUAUAUCCAUCAAAUGGGGACACAUAACUCCCUUUCCUGAUUUGCAAAGGAAAUGAA